UACGUAGGGGGCAAGCGUUGUCCGGAUUUAUUGGGCGUAAAGAGCGUGUAGGCGGCUAGAUAGGUCCGUUGUGAAAACUCGAGGCUCAACCUCGAGACGUCGAUGGAAACCAUCUGGCUAGAGUCCGGAAGAGGAGAGUGGAAUUCCUGGUGUAGCGGUGAAAUGCGCAGAUAUCAGGAAGAACACCCGUGGCGAAGGCGGCUCUCUGGGACGGUACUGACGCUGAGGCGCGAAAGCGUGGGGAGCGAACAGG
This 253-nucleotide ribosomal RNA is filed under the name uncultured bacterium. Its description in RNAcentral is "partial 16S ribosomal RNA". It matches the Rfam family "Bacterial small subunit ribosomal RNA", at positions 524 to 776 of the family's 1533-position model. The record is from RNAcentral.